AACCGAGUAACGCCUACCCUCGCCGCCGCGUAUUCACGGCAAUUGCAAGCAGCGCACGCUGUGCAAUGACUUCCGCCAGCGACGACUGCUUGCGCAUGUCGAACGCCGCGUCGGCCAGUUGCGCCAUGACCCGGGCCAUACGCUCGGAACUGGUGUUGCGCAGCGCCGUUUCGACCAGAGUCUUGCGCGAAAAGUGCAGCCGCGGAAAUCCGCUGUCGAGCGCCUCAAGUUCGCUGCGGCCCUCUUCGAUCG
Molecule: unclassified non-coding RNA, 252 nt
Filed under: Hevea brasiliensis (rubber tree)
Lineage: Eukaryota; Viridiplantae; Streptophyta; Magnoliopsida; Malpighiales; Euphorbiaceae
Source: RNAcentral